Molecule: long non-coding RNA, 1502 nt
Organism: Sorghum bicolor (sorghum)
Lineage: Eukaryota; Viridiplantae; Streptophyta; Magnoliopsida; Poales; Poaceae
Exons: 2
Source: RefSeq, a predicted model, not a curated record
CCCCGCGCCCCCGCCGUGCGCCGGUUGCCCGAGCGACCGUGCCGGUGCCCGCUGCCUACACCGAGAAUGCCGGUGGCCACUCCGGUGGCCGAGGAACUGCGACCUGCUGUGUCCCGCCGGUGGUCGCCCCCCGCUGCCCGCACGAACUCCGGUGACCGGCAGCGGAAUCUCGGCACCUCCAUCUCGAAGAGUUUUGCUGCGGUUCUUCAUCGUCCCGUGCAGUCCCUCCUCUUCGCCGGCGUCAAUGGCUACCGCCUCCUCGAAUGGUUGGUUCUUCCAAUACGUGCCCGGCUGCCCGCUCACCUGCCCCACAUUUCCUUUCCUCUCCGCUCCUACUGUUUGGGUGCUGUAAUCUGAUUCCGGACAGGACUAACAACCUGCUCGAUGUGUGCUUUUUUUUAUUCUCCUACUAGACGACAGAUUGCCAUUCACGCAAUAGAAGCGGCAAGGGUUAGCUUGGACCAAUGAGGAGAACAACAGGAUCCUGGUUUCAAUUUCAUCAUGUGCUAAAAUGAUUUACAUUUCUAGGAUUGUGCAUGGUGCUGAUGGUGGCACAUGUGCUUCUGCAGACCUGCUGAAGGAGAUAGAUGACUUCAUGGUCCUAGGCAUCACUUUUGUGGAAUCGGUUAAUACGAUGAAUUUGAUAUGAAAUUGGUAUGCUAUUUUUAAAUUUUUCUAUUACAUAUUUUCGUAUAAAGAUGUGCAUGUCUGCUGUAAUCCUAAAGUUGGUAAUAAACAAACAUUAAAUAUUAAAUAAUUAUAUUUGUCUGAUUCUUUGGUCUUAAUUUAUUUUCAGAGUUAUCCUACAUAUGUUGAUCUGUUUAAGUUGUAUGGAUAACCUUGGUUCAUAGCCUAUCUAUAUAGUCGUUCAUAGGAUGUCAGAUUUAAAUAACUUGUUUCCGUGAACUGCCAAUGUAUUUUCAAAUUAUUGCAGCUAUAUGAGGUUUCUGAAAGCUGACAUGAAAGCAAUGGAUCUUAAUGGUAGUGGAAAACUGAAAGACAAUAACAAGGCACAACCAGUUCUCAUAACAAAAAAACAAUGUGAUUCUGUUUCCUUGCUGCCUCUUUCCACGACUCACUUGUGAGGGAGAGCCACCUCAGGGACACCUUCGUGAGCGACGAGAAAAUGACUGCUAAGAUAGAUGUGGAGGCGGCUAAUAGUCACAAAGUCGAUGAGGAGCUUCAGAGAGGUACUUCUCAUGUGUUUGUUACUAGCUGUGUAAAAGUGUAUUCUCAUGUGUUUGUUACUAGAGUCUGGAGGCAAGCCGUGCUGAAAAUUGAAUCAGACAAGGAGGAGCACUCGGUGGAGAAGGCAAGCCGUGGCAAUACUACUGUCGACUACUACUAAACUCUCUAAAUUUUACAAAAAGCCAUUGCAUAUGGUUAUACUAGACGAGUGAGUGUUAUUGUUUAGGUACUUGCAUGCUAACUGAAGACUGUGUGGAGAGUGAGAGUUAUAGUGUGUAUCAUUUUUUUGGCCAUAUAGAUUUUUUAUUCAAUGA